This 2957-nucleotide unclassified non-coding RNA is filed under the name Hevea brasiliensis (rubber tree). The record is from RNAcentral. Lineage: Eukaryota; Viridiplantae; Streptophyta; Magnoliopsida; Malpighiales; Euphorbiaceae.
GCUCUCUAAAAACAGUGUCAAUCAGGCACUAAGCCUUGAAAAAAUAAACAAGGGUAAAGCAUCAACACCCUCCUCCCCCUUCUUUUAUCCACCAACUCAACACUCGGUUGCAUUUACAAAGAAUUUUACAUGUGGCUUGCAUAUAGUGUUUUUGUCCUUCCAAAUUAAAUUUGAUCACAUAAAAAAAUUCCAUUCAAAUAUGUUCACAGAUCAUUGUCAAGUAUAAAGAUAUCAGAGAUCAACAUCAAGAAGCCUCUUCGAAAUUCACAGUCAAAUACCUGAACAAUCCAAACUAUGCCCUCUACACAAAUAUCACCAAGAUAUUAUUGAUUGUGAGUUCUCCAAGUAGAUUCAAGAAAAACCAGCUGUAUCCGCUAGAAGGUACAACAGUAUCACAACAAUAACAGCGGAUCAGGCAGCCAAUGAAAGAAGAGUAACAAUUGAUUUUUGUUUUGGUUAACUGAUUUUAAAUAGUGUACUGUUCCUAUAUGUGCAUGUUGUUUUGUAAAAUGUAUAGAAUAAAACAUCAAGGGGCUAAUGAAAAUUGUUACCUCCUUGCUCAUGGUGAUUAUUUACAGGUGGGCGAACAACAGGAAUAUCCAAGCUGCUUCCUUCUGUCUCAGGAGCAACCUCUCUUACAUCAGCUAUUCUCGACUCUGUUGGCUGAAUAUCACUCCAUUCAGCAUCUCCAAUUGGCCGGAGGUUAGUUUGGUCUGCUCCCAUGUGCACAACAUUCUCCCCAGAAUAUGGCAAAAUUCUAGAAACACUAAGACAAGCUUUAUCCACAUUCUCCUCAGACAAGCCCACGUGUUUAGUCAGCAUAGAAGUGCUGCCAACAACAUUUGAAGUCUCGGUCUUCCGAAACACUUCCUUUGUAUCAAUAUGCUGUCUGUUAACAGAAAAUCAAGAUAUAUAACUGUAUCCAUCCUCACAUGUUAGACAUAAUUUCUAAAUCCCUGUGCAGAUCACAAAAUAAGAACUAAAAUAAACAUUAAGCAAGAGUAUUCAGCGUCCCUGUACAAAUCACAUUGAAAGAAGUUCAUAACAGAGUUUUUGAAUCAACUAGUAAUUUUUUCAAGGCAUAAUACAACUCAAACACCAGGCAUAUGAGAAUUCCAAAAUUCUUUGUUAUGUACUGUUGUUUCCCACUCCUUAAAACAACCAGGUAUGACCUAUCCUACGCAUUGUUAAUUCUUUGAUCUCAAAAACAGGUCUUCAGUAAUAAGGAAAACAAAAGGAAGAGGAUUUUGAAAUGCCUGAAAACAUUUUCCCUAUUUUCCAAAAUAGCAAGUGUUUAGGGAGCUGUUGCUAAAACACAAGCAAGACAAAUCUACAGAACUAUUGCAAAAUCUAACCAGCAAGACAAGUUCUCAGCUAAGAAAAGUGCUUUUUGGUUUUAACAACAGGAAAGCGUCCUUCAGGUAACUUGAUCCAUUUCUAAAAUCAGGAAAAAAAUGGAACAUAUAUUUAAUUUCAACUAGUGCUAGCGUACUAACACUAUUAAGGGACAAAACCUUUUAAUUUCUCAUCAAUCAGCACUCAUAAUGGUUGAUUUACUUGAUGAUUCUUUAACUACAAAAUCUACUAACAGAGAAUGCUUCUUUAAUCAUGAGAUCUACAACAGAAGGAAAGUUAGAAGAGUGCAGAAGGGAUUAAAACAUAUGUUGGUUUAAGAGGGUUCAAAUGUUAAACCUUUGAAGUUGUGCCUGUAAUGCAUUCACAUAUGCUAGAAGCUCUUGCUUCUCAUUCAUAGCAGCUGCCUCUUUCUGUGAAGCUUCCUUUAUUCUAGCUUCAGCGUCUGCUUCUGCAACCCUAACCUUCUCCUCUGCUCUCACCACUGCUCCUUCCAAUAUCACAACGCGCUCUCUAGCUUUUGCAAGCUCAGAACGCCAUAAAUGUGCCUCGUGAAGCGCAGAAUCUCUCUGCUUGAUCAGUUCAUCUCUUUCUUUUGUUAGAGUCAUAACCUUCUCUUCAAACUCUUUAAGCUUCAACACGGAUGACUCCAGCUGCUUCUGUGAAGCUUUUGACAACCGCUCAAUUUCAGCACAAGCAAUUCUCCUCUGUUCAUCCAUUGUAUGUGCCGCAGAUGCUGCGGCCUCAGCUGCUUCAGCAGUCUCAGAUAGUUUCUCUGCUAUGUCUCUUAUUGUUGAAUCACGAGCACGAAGGUCCCGGGCCAAAUUCUUCAGUUCUUCAUCCUUAACCUUUAGUGUCUCCUUCAUGAUUGUUAGAUCAUCCAUUGGGCCAUCAAUUAUCCUAUUAUUCACCAUUCCCAAAGCAUUUCUCAAGGAAAUCUGCAUUGCAGCUUCAAUUUCUUUAGAGCAUUCAAGGGCUGUUGAGUUGGCAGCAGCAACCACAGUCGCGAUUGUCCCAAGCUUCGCAGAACCAUUCCCACUCAAGGAAUUCACUGCUUCUUUAUGUGCCUUUAGAACCAACAGGGUUGCAUGUAAAGUUGCAACCCAUGCUCUAGCUGCACCAGGAGUCUCUGCACAAAGGAAGUAGUCUUUUUUUUGUGGAGUACCAAUAUAGAAACAGCACCCUUCGUACUUUGGAAGUCCAUGGAAGUUCACAGGAGAAACCGUUAUUGUGCUAUUUGCAUCAAAGAUGAUAGUUCCCUUCACAGUCGGCUCAUUUCUCCUAGUCUUGUAUUCCAUUUUUCCAGUAGUUGGGUCCAAGAUCACCCAUCGUUCAUUCCAUUUUCUCAGAGUUUCAGAUCGCUUGAGAAGAGGGCCCUGCAACAAAUUCCUACCAGAACCGGACGCCAAUUGCCGCUUGAUCCUCUCCAAGCUGUUCUGUGCGUCCAUUGCUCCCGUAGGCGCAGAUUCACCAUUAGAGGCCAUGAGAUGAUGGAUCACCAAAGCAAAUUCAGAAUCCAAGAGCUGUUAGCGUACAGGAGAAUGGGUUUUUGCGAUGUUUACGAAAUAGAAGGCCCCCCCAAAAAAAAAAAAAAUCUACUAUGG